GCCGCGGUAGCCCAAUUGGUAGAGGCGCUGCACUCAGAAUGCAGAACGUGCGGGUUCGAAUCCCGCUCGCGGCA
RNAcentral lists this transfer RNA (74 nucleotides) under Myxococcus xanthus. RNAcentral's name for it is "tRNA-Leu". It matches the Rfam family "tRNA". From Rfam's summary of the family: Transfer RNA (tRNA) molecules are approximately 80 nucleotides in length. Their secondary structure includes four short double-helical elements and three loops (D, anti-codon, and T loops). RNAcentral also lists the same sequence under 1 other name. The record is from RNAcentral. Lineage: Bacteria; Pseudomonadati; Myxococcota; Myxococcia; Myxococcales; Myxococcaceae.